This 351-nucleotide RNase P RNA is filed under the name Enterobacteriaceae endosymbiont of Donacia semicuprea. Its description in RNAcentral is "RNase P RNA component class A". It matches the Rfam family "Bacterial RNase P class A". From Rfam's summary of the family: Ribonuclease P (RNase P) is a ubiquitous endoribonuclease, found in archaea, bacteria and eukarya as well as chloroplasts and mitochondria. Its best characterised activity is the generation of mature 5'-ends of tRNAs by cleaving the 5'-leader elements of precursor-tRNAs. Lineage: Bacteria; Pseudomonadati; Pseudomonadota; Gammaproteobacteria; Enterobacterales; Enterobacteriaceae. The record is from RNAcentral.
AAAGUUAAUUAAAACAGUCGCUUUUAUUAAUAAUUAAUAAAAGAGGAAAGUCCGGACUCCAUUGGGUUAUAGUGCCAGAUAAUUACUGGGAAGUGUGAACUUACGAAUAGUGCAACAGAAAGAAUACCGCCAAAAAAAUAUUUUUGGUAAGGGUGAAAAGGUAUGGUAAAAGCAUACCGAUAUAUUAGUAAUAAUAUAUGUCAAUGUAAACUCCACUAGGAGCAAGGCUAAAUAAGAUUUGUAUGAUACCCGUACUAUAAAUCUGGGUAAGCUGCUUGAAAUAAUAAGUGAUUAUUAUUCUAGAUAAAUGACUGUUCUUGACUGAAUCCGGCUUAAUAAUUAACUUUAUUU